AGAGUUUGAUCAUGGCUCAGGAUGAACGCUGGCGGCGUGCCUAAUACAUGCAAGUCGAACGAAGAUGUAGCAAUACGUCUUAGUGGCGAACGGGUGAGUAACGCGUUGGUGACCUGCCCCAAAGUCUGGGAUAACCCCGCGAAAGCGGGGCUAAUACCGGAUGUGGUCAUCGGGAUUAGAAUCCGAUGUCUAAAGGAGUAAUUCGCUUUGGGAGGGGCCUGCGUCCCAUCAGCUAGUUGGUAGGGUAACGGCCUACCAAGGCUACGACGGGUAGGGGACCUCAGAGGGUGGCCCCCCACAAUGGAACUGAAACACGGUCCAUACACCUACGGGUGGCAGCAGUAGGGAAUAUUGCACAAUGGGCGAAAGCCUGAUGCAGCAACGCCGCGUGCGCGAAGAAGGUCUUCGGAUCGUAAAGCGCUUUUCUGGGAGAUGAGAAGGGACAGUAUCCCAGGAAUAAGUCUCGGCUAACUACGUGCCAGCAGCCGCGGUAAAACGUAGGAGGCGAGCGUUAUCCGGAUUCACUGGGCGUAAAGCGCGUGCAGGCGGUUUGGUAAGUUGGGCGUGAAAGCUCCCGGCUCAACUGGGAGAGGUCGUCCAAAACUACCAGACUAGAGAGCGAUAGAGGAAAAUGGAAUUCCCGGUGUAGUGGUGAAAUGCGUAGAUAUCGGGAGGAACACCAGUGGCGAAGGCGAUUUUCUGGAUCGUUUCUGACGCUCAGACGCGAAAGCUAGGGUAGCAAACGGGAUUAGAGACCCCGGUAGUCCUAGCUGUAAACGAUGUGAACUUGGCGUUGGUGGCUUAAACACCAUCAGUGCCGCAGCUAACGCGAUAAGUUCACCGCCUGGGGACUACGGCCGCAAGAUUAAAACUCAAAUGAAUUGACGG
Molecule: ribosomal RNA, 888 nt
Filed under: uncultured bacterium
Lineage: Bacteria
Description: SSU rRNA
Rfam family: Bacterial small subunit ribosomal RNA
Source: RNAcentral